Molecule: ribosomal RNA, 475 nt
Filed under: uncultured bacterium
Lineage: Bacteria
Description: bacterial SSU rRNA
Rfam family: Bacterial small subunit ribosomal RNA
Source: RNAcentral
UGGCGGCAGGCUUAACACAUGCAAGUCGAGCGGUAGCAGAUCUAGCUUGCUAGAUGCUGACGAGCGGCGGACGGGUGAGUAACGCGUAGGAACCUGCCCAGUAGUGGGGGAUAGCCCGGGGAAACUCGGAUUAAUACCGCAUACGCUCUACGGAGGAAAGAGGGGGCUUCGGCUCUCGCUAUUGGAUGGGCCUGCGUGAGAUUAGCUAGUUGGUGAGGUAAUGGCUCACCAAGGCGACGAUCUCUAGCUGGUCUGAGAGGAUGAUCAGCCACACUGGGACUGAGACACGGCCCAGACUCCUACGGGAGGCAGCAGUGGGGAAUAUUGCACAAUGGGCGCAAGCCUGAUGCAGCCAUGCCGCGUGUGUGAAGAAGGCUUUCGGGUUGUAAAGCACUUUCAGUGGGGAGGAAGGCCUCGUAGUUAAUAGCUGCGAGGAUUGACGUUACCCACAGAAGAAGCACCGGCUAACUCCGUG